RNAcentral lists this ribosomal RNA (264 nucleotides) under uncultured bacterium. RNAcentral's name for it is "partial 16S ribosomal RNA". It matches the Rfam family "Bacterial small subunit ribosomal RNA", at positions 90 to 354 of the family's 1533-position model. The record is from RNAcentral.
CUUAAGUGGCGGACGGGUGAGUAACGCGUGGGUAACCUGCCUUACACAGGGGGAUAACACUUAGAAAUAGGUGCUAAUACCGCAUAAGCGCACAGUCCCGCAUGGGACAGAGUGAAAAACAUUAGUGGUGUAAGAUGGACCCGCGUCUGAUUAGCUUGUUGGCGGGGUAACGGCCCACCAAGGCGACGAUCAGUAGCCGGCCUGAGAGGGUGGACGGCCACAUUGGGACUGAGACACGGCCCAAACUCCUACGGAAGGCAGCAG